AUGCAAGUCGAGCGAUCUCUUCGGAGAGAGCGGCGGACGGGUGAGUAACGCGUGGGUAACCUGCCCUGUACACACGGAUAACAUACCGAAAGGUAUACUAAUACGGGAUAACAUACGAAAGUCGCAUGGCUUUUGUAUCAAAGCUCCGGCGGUACAGGAUGGACCCGCGUCUGAUUAGCUCCUUGGUAAGGUAAUGGCUUACCAAGGCAACGAUCAGUAGCCGACCUGAGAGGGUGAUCGGCCACACUGGAACUGAGACACGGUCCAGACUCCUACGGGAGGCAGCAGUGGGGAAUAUUGCACAAUGGGCGAAAGCCUGAUGCAGUAACGUCGCGUGAGCGAUGAAGGCCUUCGGGUCGUAAAGCUCUGUCCUAAGGAAGAUAAUGACGGUACUUGAGGAGGAAGCCCCGGCUAACUACGUGCCAGCAGCCGCGGUAAUACGUAGGGGGCUAGCGUUAUCCGGAAUUACUGGGCGUAAAGGGUGCGUAGGUGGUUUUUUAAGUCAGAAGUGAAAGGCUACGGCUCAACCGUAGUAAGCUUUUGAAACUAGAGAACUUGAGUGCAGGAGAGGAGAGUAGAAUUCCUAGUGUAACGGUGAAAUGCGUAGAUAUUAGGAGGAAUACCAGUAGCGAAGGCGGGUCUCUGGACUGUGACUGACACUGAAGCACAAAAGUGUGGGGAGCAAACAGGAUUAGAUACCCUGGUAGUCCACGCCGUAAACGAUGAGUACUAGGUGUCGGGGGUUACCCCCCUCGGUGCCGCAGCUAACGCAUUAAGUAC
RNAcentral lists this ribosomal RNA (780 nucleotides) under uncultured bacterium. Its description in RNAcentral is "bacterial SSU rRNA". It matches the Rfam family "Bacterial small subunit ribosomal RNA", at positions 55 to 867 of the family's 1533-position model. The record is from RNAcentral.